GAUCAUGGCUCAGGAUGAACGCUAGCUACAGGCUUAACACAUGCAAGUCGAGAGGCAGCAUUGGGGUAGCAAUACUCAGAUGGCGACCGGCGCACGGGUGAGUAACACGUAUCCAACCUGCCGCUUACUCGGGGAUAGCCUUUCGAAAGAAAGAUUAAUACCCGAUGGUAUAAGGAGUUCGCAUGUUCUCUUUAUUAAAGAGUUUCGGUAAGCGAUGGGGAUGCGUUCCAUUAGAUAGUUGGCGGGGUAACGGCCCACCAAGUCUACGAUGGAUAGGGGUUCUGAGAGGAAGGUCCCCCACAUUGGAACUGAGACACGGUCCAAACUCCUACGGGAGGCAGCAGUGAGGAAUAUUGGUCAAUGGACGAGAGUCUGAACCAGCCAAAGUAGCGUGAAGGAUGACUGCCCUAUGGGUUGUAAACUUCUUUUAUAAGGGAAUAAAGUGAGGGACGUGUCCCUUUUUGUAUGUACCUUAUGAAUAAGGAUCGGCUAACUCCGUGCCAGCCGCCGC
Molecule: ribosomal RNA, 511 nt
Filed under: uncultured bacterium
Lineage: Bacteria
Description: bacterial SSU rRNA
Rfam family: Bacterial small subunit ribosomal RNA
Source: RNAcentral